Molecule: non-coding RNA, 72 nt
Organism: Ornithorhynchus anatinus (platypus)
Lineage: Eukaryota; Metazoa; Chordata; Mammalia; Monotremata; Ornithorhynchidae
Source: Rfam
AGCAGUGUGGCUCAGUGGAAAGAGCCCGGGCUUGGGAGUCAGAGAUCAUGGGUUCAAUUCCCGGCUCUGCCA